This 578-nucleotide ribosomal RNA is filed under the name uncultured bacterium. Its description in RNAcentral is "bacterial SSU rRNA". It matches the Rfam family "Bacterial small subunit ribosomal RNA", at positions 338 to 916 of the family's 1533-position model. The record is from RNAcentral.
CCUACGGGAGGCAGCAGUAAGGAAUAUUGGUCAAUGGACGCAAGUCUGAACCAGCCAUGCCGCGUGCAGGAUGAAGGCCCUCUGGGUUGUAAACUGCUUUUAUAGGGGACGAAAAAGGGACUUUCUAGUUCAACUGACGGUACCCUAGGAAUAAGCACCGGCUAACUCCGUGCCAGCAGCCGCGGUAAUACGGAGGGUGCAAGCGUUAUCCGGAUUUACUGGGUUUAAAGGGUGCGUAGGUGGGUCGGUAAGUCAGCGGUGAAAUCUUCGAGCUUAACUCGGAAACUGCCAUUGAUACUAUCGAUCUUGAAUCAUCUAGAGGUAAGCGGAAUAUGUCAUGUAGCGGUGAAAUGCUUAGAUAUGACAUAGAACACCAAUUGCGAAGGCAGCUUACUAUGGAUGUAUUGACACUGAGGCACGAAAGCGUGGGGAUCAAACAGGAUUAGAUACCCUGGUAGUCCACGCCCUAAACGAUGGAUACUCGACAUCAGCGAUACACUGUUGGUGUCUGAGCGAAAGCAUUAAGUAUCCCACCUGGGAAGUACGAUCGCAAGAUUGAAACUCAAAUGAAUUGACGG